Molecule: non-coding RNA, 307 nt
Organism: Tinamus guttatus (white-throated tinamou)
Lineage: Eukaryota; Metazoa; Chordata; Aves; Tinamiformes; Tinamidae
Source: RefSeq, a predicted model, not a curated record
UUUACCUAUGACUUAAGUUUCCACUUUGAUACAGCAGCAAAGACUCCGUCCGCCUCGGCCACCGCCUCCAAAGAUACAGCGUUCUUCUAGGCCCGUCCGGCCUCCAAGACCUCAUGUUGUUAAGAGACCUAAGAGCAAUAUUGCUGUGGAAGGGCGAAGGACUUCGGUUUCGAGUCCCGAACACCUGGUAAAGCCCAUGCGACACUAUACGGUCUUCCUCUCUGAGGACUCCUCUGAUGAUGAAUUUCGGCAGGAAGAGGAUCCUGUCUGUGGCUUCUCUGAAAACUUUUUCUUCUCUGCUCCUUUC